AAUUUUGGACAAUGGGGGAAACCCUGAUCCAGCCAUCCCGCGUGUAUGAUGAAGGCCUUCGGGUUGUAAAGUACUCUUGGCAGAGAGGAAAAAGUAUCUCCUAAUACGAGAUACUGCUGACGGCGUCUGCAGAAGAAGAACCGGCUAACAACGUGCCAGCAGCCGCGGUAAUACAUAGGGUGGAAGCGUUAAUCGGAAUUACUGGGGGUAAAGCGUGUGUAGGCGGUUCUGAAAGAAAGAUGUGAAAACCCAGGGAUCAACCUUGGAACUGCAUUUUUAACUGCCGAGCUAGAGUAUGUCAGAGGGGGGUAGAAUUCCACGUGUAGCAGUGAAAUGCGUAGAUAUGUGGAGGAAUACCGAUGGCGAAGGCAGCCCCCUGGGAUAAUACUGACGCUCAGACACGAAAGCGUGGGGAGCAAACA
This 422-nucleotide ribosomal RNA is filed under the name uncultured bacterium. Its description in RNAcentral is "partial 16S ribosomal RNA". It matches the Rfam family "Bacterial small subunit ribosomal RNA", at positions 360 to 774 of the family's 1533-position model. The record is from RNAcentral.